RNAcentral lists this ribosomal RNA (1447 nucleotides) under Vibrio parahaemolyticus. RNAcentral describes it as "bacterial SSU rRNA". It matches the Rfam family "Bacterial small subunit ribosomal RNA". Lineage: Bacteria; Pseudomonadati; Pseudomonadota; Gammaproteobacteria; Vibrionales; Vibrionaceae. The record is from RNAcentral.
AAAUUGAAGAGUUUGAUCAUGGCUCAGAUUGAACGCUGGCGGCAGGCCUAACACAUGCAAGUCGAGCGGAAACGAGUUAUCWGAACCUUCGGGGGACGAUAACGGCGUCGAGCGGCGGACGGGUGAGUAAUGCCUAGGAAAUUGCCCUGAUGUGGGGGAUAACCAUUGGAAACGAUGGCUAAUACCGCAUGAUGCCUACGGGCCAAAGAGGGGGACCUUCGGGCCUCUCGCGUCAGGAUAUGCCGGCAGCAGUGGGGAAUAUUGCACAAUGGGCGCAAGCCUGAUGCAGCCAUGCCGCGUGUGUGAAGAAGGCCUUCGGGUUGUAAAGCACUUUCAGUCGUGAGGAAGGYRGUGUAGUUAAUAGCUGCAUYRUUUGACGUUAGCGACAGAAGAAGCACCGGCUAACUCCGUGCCAGCAGCCGCGGUAAUACGGAGGGUGCGAGCGUUAAUCGGAAUUACUGGGCGUAAAGCGCAUGCAGGUGGUUUGUUAAGUCAGAUGUGAAAGCCCGGGGCUCAACCUCGGAAUUGCAUUUGAAACUGGCAGACUAGAGUACUGUAGAGGGGGGUAGAAUUUCAGGUGUAGCGGUGAAAUGCGUAGAGAUCUGAAGGAAUACCGGUGGCGAAGGCGGCCCCCUGGACAGAUACUGACACUCAGAUGCGAAAGCGUGGGGAGCAAACAGGAUUAGAUACCCUGGUAGUCCACGCCGUAAACGAUGUCUACUUGGAGGUUGUGGCCUUGAGCCGUGGCUUUCGGAGCUAACGCGUUAAGUAGACCGCCUGGGGAGUACGGUCGCAAGAUUAAAACUCAAAUGAAUUGACGGGGGCCCGCACAAGCGGUGGAGCAUGUGGUUUAAUUCGAUGCAACGCGAAGAACCUUACCUACUCUUGACAUCCAGAGAACUUUCCAGAGAUGGAUUGGUGCCUUCGGGAACUCUGAGACAGGUGCUGCAUGGCUGUCGUCAGCUCGUGUUGUGAAAUGUUGGGUUAAGUCCCGCAACGAGCGCAACCCUUAUCCUUGUUUGCCAGCGAGUAAUGUCGGGAACUCCAGGGAGACUGCCGGUGAUAAACCGGAGGAAGGUGGGGACGACGUCAAGUCAUCAUGGCCCUUACGAGUAGGGCUACACACGUGCUACAAUGGCGCAUACAGAGGGCAGCCAACUUGCGAAAGUGAGCGAAUCCCAAAAAGUGCGUCGUAGUCCGGAUUGGAGUCUGCAACUCGACUCCAUGAAGUCGGAAUCGCUAGUAAUCGUGGAUCAGAAUGCCACGGUGAAUACGUUCCCGGGCCUUGUACACACCGCCCGUCACACCAUGGGAGUGGGCUGCAAAAGAAGUAGGUAGUUUAACCUUCGGGGGGACGCUUACCACUUUGUGGUUCAUGACUGGGGUGAAGUCGUAACAAGGUAGCGCUAGGGGAACCUGGCGCUGGAUCACCUCCUUAAACGAUGAU